AGAGUUUGAUCAUGGCUCAGAUUGAACGCUGGCGGUAUGCUUAACACAUGCAAGUCGAACGGGUAACAGGCCUUCGGGCGCUGACGAGUGGCGGACGGGUGAGUAACGCGUAGGAAUCUGCCUCAUAGUGGGGACAACGUGGGGAAACUCGCGCUAAUACCGCAUACGCCCUACGGGGGAAAGCGGGGGAUCUUCGGACCUCGCGCUAUGAGAUGAGCCUGCGUUAGAUUAGCUAGUUGGUAGGGUAAAGGCCUACCAAGGCGACGAUCUAUAGCUGGUCUGAGAGGACGAUCCCCCAGCCACACUGGGACUGAGACACGGCCCAGACUCCUACGGGAGGCAGCAGUGGGGAAUAUUGGACAAUGGGCGCAAGCCUGAUCCAGCAAUACCGCGUGUGUGAAGAAGGCCUUAGGGUUGUAAAGCACUUUCAAUUGGGAGGAAAACCUGCCGGUCAAUACCCGGCAGCUUGAUAUUACCUUUAGAAGAAGCACCGGCUAACUCCGUG
Molecule: ribosomal RNA, 505 nt
Filed under: uncultured bacterium
Lineage: Bacteria
Description: bacterial SSU rRNA
Rfam family: Bacterial small subunit ribosomal RNA
Source: RNAcentral